UUUAAUAUUUAUGUAUGAUGGGAACAAGGGAGGUAGGAGUAAAAAAAAAACCAAGUAAUAAAGCAUUAAACGGAGAUAAGUUGGCCUAAAAAAAUCAAAAUGAGCCUUUAAGAGGCAAAAUUUUAUUUUGUGUGAUUGGUGAAACUAUUUGGAUUCUUUUGAAACAACUGAGUUCAUGAGGCCAAAGCUGGACUGUCUUUGUUGAAAUGGAUCAGCAUUGGACAAUGAGAAACAAGGGAUUUGUCUAUAAGACCAAAAACUUUCUGGUUAGAGCUGAGUAUUACGAGAACCAGUAAACUCGGAAGGAAGUUCCAUGGCAGGAGUUGCUAGCAAAUUUAUCAGUUUGAAUACAAGAAAACAAAUAUGAAACAAGUUGUGCAAGAUAGUAGUAGUAUACCCUUUGAAAAGCAUCAUAUGAAUUGUGCGCAUGACAGCUUCCCUCACGGAAGCUUCCACAACCCCCUUCUGGCGUUCCAAAGCUAGCAAACUUUAUUGAUGAUAUUUUCUGCCCAGGGCCACAUGACAAAUGGGCUUUAGGCCUCACAGGUUUUUUGACCUUGCCUGAGGCUUGCAUUUGCCAACUCAUAAGAUUUGGUUGCCACUCAUAAAUAUCAGCACAUAUGCUAUCUAUUUCCCUUCUGACCAAAAAUAUCCCAUUUGGAUCUCCACCCCACUCUUCUAAGACAACCAACAAAUUGCCUGUUGGAUUUAGCCAUGUGCGAGGAACAUGAUACCUGAAAUUAUUAACGAGUAACCAGUUUGUCAGUUACCUGUGAGAAAGCAUAACCAGAGCUACAAAUAGCGUUUACUUACCAUCUCUGGGAAGCCUCCCCACAGUUACUUAAGCAUUUCUUCUCAUGAUAUGUCCCAGCAUAGUUACAGGCACCACAACUACCGGAUGCUUUAUAAGCAGGCCAGUAGCGUCCAAUACUCCUGCCAUUUAUCCAUACUUGACCUUUUCCCAUGCUGCCCAUAUCUAGAGCCAAUGGUGAAUUUCCAGCUGGUGCAUUGAAAGUUGU
This 1019-nucleotide long non-coding RNA is filed under the name Prunus persica (peach). Its description in RNAcentral is "long non-coding RNA (PPER_LNC002946)". Lineage: Eukaryota; Viridiplantae; Streptophyta; Magnoliopsida; Rosales; Rosaceae. The record is from RNAcentral.